Molecule: ribosomal RNA, 468 nt
Filed under: uncultured bacterium
Lineage: Bacteria
Description: partial 16S ribosomal RNA
Rfam family: Bacterial small subunit ribosomal RNA
Source: RNAcentral
GACGAACGCUGGCGGCGUGCUUAACACAUGCAAGUCGAACGGAAAGGCCCUGCUUUUGUGGGGUGCUCGAGUGGCGAACGGGUGAGUAACACGUGAGUAACCUGCCCUUGACUUUGGGAUAACUUCAGGAAACUGGGGCUAAUACCGGAUAGGAGCUCCUGCUGCAUUGUGGGGGUUGGAAAGUUUCGGCGGUUGGGUAUGGUCUCGCGGCUUAUCAGCCUGUUGGUGGGGUAGUGGCGUACCAAGGCUUUGACGGGUAGCCGGCCUGAGAGGGUGACCGGCCACAUUGGGACUGAGAUACGGCCCAGACGCCUACGGGAGGCAGCAGUGGGGAAUAUUGCGCAAUGGGCGGAAGCCUGAUGCAGCAGCGCCGCGUGCGGGAUGACGGCCUUCGGGUUGUAAACCGCUUUCGCCUGUGACGAAGCGUGAGUGACGGUAAUGGGUAAAGAAGCACCGGCUAACUACGUG